RNAcentral lists this ribosomal RNA (245 nucleotides) under uncultured bacterium. Its description in RNAcentral is "partial 16S ribosomal RNA". It matches the Rfam family "Bacterial small subunit ribosomal RNA", at positions 524 to 767 of the family's 1533-position model. The record is from RNAcentral.
UACAGAGACCCCAAGCGUUAUCCGGAGUUACUGGGCGUAAAGCGCAAGUAGUCGGUUUUUGUAGUCUGAUGUUAAAUCUCAUGGCUUAACCGUGAGGCCGCAUUAGAAACGCAAAAACUAGAGCAGGUCAGAGGCAAGCGGAACGUGCGGUGUAGCGGUGAAAUGCAUUGAUAUCGCACGGAACACCGAAAGCGAAAGCAGCUUGCUGGGGCCUUUGCUGACGAUCAGUUGCGAAAGCGUGGGGA